CGGGACGAGAUAAACUCUUUGCAAGGCUUGAGGCACUACGUGCAGCGCAUGGAUACUCUCUACGACUGGCAGCUCACAACCACGUCGGCACAUCACCGCUCUCAGAUCCACUGCGAUUUACCACUCUAGAAGAGGCACCAGGAGGCGCACCACAAAACGUUCGCGUGAGGACAGUUGACUCUGGAGAACUAAAUGUAUCGUGGAAUGUUCCAGAACGCGACAGCUGGAACGGCGAGCUUUUAGGCUAUGUUGUGUCAUGGCGCGAAGCUGAAGGCAGC
Molecule: long non-coding RNA, 278 nt
Organism: Pieris brassicae (large cabbage white)
Lineage: Eukaryota; Metazoa; Arthropoda; Insecta; Lepidoptera; Pieridae
Exons: 3
Source: RefSeq, a predicted model, not a curated record